AUGGUGGGAGCAGAAAACGCAAACUCAACGCUUAAGGUGCAAAAUGUGACCGAACCUUGCAGACCUGACCCGCUCUCUGCAGAGUGGAGCCUGGGGAAAGAGACCAGAUCCGGCUACGCGUGGUCUUAGCCAAAGGACAAUAUCUAAGCAGUUUACUGUUCCCAAAUCCCACAUCAGAGGUAGGGGGUCUGCAAACCCACUUACUCCGUGCAUUCUCUUUAAUGAAUUGGAUAAUGUCAAUGAUCGCCGCCUGGUCCAGUUCAUCCUUAUCCACAGCUUUGCCUUCCACGCUGAGGUUUGUAAACUCGGACUUCAGGGUAGUGUAGAUCCCUUCCGACAGGAAGAAGAAGGGCCGAUCGUCUGUCUUCAUGUCCUGGAAGACCAGCACGGCCCUCGAGGUCCAGUUGAAGGUCUCAUGCAACUGGGCGGUGAAUUCCCCGAGCUUGGUGAAGACCGGCCCGGUGCGGAUCACCGUGCUGUAGUCUCCGGUCUUGGAGAAGCCGAAGGCUGAUGCCCCGGCGGUGACCAGGGGCAGCCCCCAGUGGCUGGCGAACCUAGCCACCGGGGCGGUGGCGUAGAUACAACCGGGACCCACGAAGACGUCGGGGUCGUUCUCCAGCUUCAGGUCCACGGCGAGCAAAGGGGCGAGCGAAUCGGCGCAGCGGCCGUCCAGUUCGCUGCUCUUGAACUUGUAGCACGUCAGCGAGAGGCUACACAAACUCCACAACCAGGACUAAAGCGCCAUCUGCCAGAGCAAAACGACACCUCCACCCAGCUCCGACUUUCCUCUCAGCUGAACUCCUGUUUUAAUACAGUGCCAGGUUAAAAAAAACACACACGAGAUGGAAACAGCGACUGGAUAUGGAAAUCGCGCACAACUUGUUUAAAAUCAAGACCACCUCCGUCAACGGAUUUCUCCCGGGAACUUCCAAGGAAAUUCCAAUCGGCAGGUACCGAGGGGACACUCAUUCUGUGGAUUAUUUUGAUUCUCACGGAGUCUAACUUCGCUUUCUCUGACGGCCGGUGCUCGGGCUGACAGCUUUCCUGUGUGACUGUUAGCGAGUACACACAUCGGUUCCCCAUCGGUAAGAGCGAUGCAAAUGACAAUUACGAACCAAGCCGUUGGUAAUUCCGAGGCGCUGCCGCCAUUCAUUGAGGGAUACCUGGCGAUUUACAAACACUAGGAUUGCUACAGAACACAUGGGCAGCCUCCCCCAGACCCGCUACUUUAUUUCGCCUCCAGCUUGUUCCCCCAAAGCGUUUAAAAAUCAAAAAGUAAGGAAGGUAGGCGGUUUGUGGUGGCAUUUUAAAAGGUUGCCGACUGUCAGUUUGCAGUCGGCGCCGGGACAGAACUGUGCGGACAAUCUGCAGAUGGUUGGUGCCUUUUUAAUAGCACGGACUUGUCUGGUUUCCAGUGUGUGCUAACCCGAUCGAUACAUCGAUUUUAAUUGGAUUUGGUCGUGGACAGGAGUGUGAUAGCUAGGAUGCCAGCCGCCGCAUCUAAAUAACACACUUGAAAUGUUUGUUAACUAUGCAGUGAAUGCAGGAUCGAUGUAAUGCCGGGAAACCUGGACAGCAAGAGCCGGAGAAAACUAUUAACAGGGAAACUGUUCGCCCCAAGUGCCCGGACACAGCAGCUUGACUCUUGGCUGCAGCAGCUGUGAACAGUUCGUGCCUUGGCCGGAAUCUGAGCUUCUGUCGCGUGUUUUUUUUUACCGCCACCACCUCAAACUGUGCGUUUACUUUUCUCCCAAAUGUAUGGCAACAUUUAAAACUUAAAAUGCGACAAAUAUUCCAUUCGACCGAUACUAAUGUUUGUGUGCGUUGCCAAAUGUCUGCAAGUAUGAGACAAUUCCAGUUACUUUCCAGAAACUGUUUUCAUUUCUCUUUGCAAAGGAAGGAAAGCGCCUCCGGGAGUGAGACCGAGGAGAGAACUGAGGCUACACCAGAAAAGGAAUAAAUUUUUAUUUGCAUAUAACGGUCAGAUAAAAGUGUGCACGCACCGUCGGAUGACUGAAGCCACUUUUAAGGCAGUGGUUCAAUGUGUUAGGGACGGACUCGGCUCUUCACAGUACAUUGCAGCGCGUGGAACUGAUAUCGGUAAAGGACGAACAGUGCGGGGAAUACCGAGAGCAUUUCAACGAUAACUAAUUGUUCGUGAGCUGAAUUGCCUACCACUAUCAUCAUAAGACAAGCAUCGAUAUUAACGAUGUUGAAUCUUAAUUUGUUAAAUUCAAAUUUCUAAUUCGAUUUUCUGUUGUUAACUCAUGCUUUAAAGGAUAUUCUAUUUCGCUUUUUAACAAAAGAGAUUUGGCAAUGCAGGGAGCUAAAAUGGAAUUUUUGCCUUCAGUUGUUAAUCUGCUAGCAUGUGGGGGCAGGAAAGAAAUCACCUUUGAACGACACAUUAAAGAGGGGUGUCUCCUCGACGCCCCUGUGCCCCGUUA
This is a long non-coding RNA of Stegostoma tigrinum, 2444 nucleotides long. RefSeq lists it as uncharacterized. The transcript has 2 exons. The record is from RefSeq and is a predicted model, not a curated record. Lineage: Eukaryota; Metazoa; Chordata; Chondrichthyes; Orectolobiformes; Stegostomatidae.